UACGGAAGGGGGCUAGCGUUGUUCGGAAUUACUGGGCGUAAAGCGCGCGCAGGCGGCUAUCCAAGUCAGUGGUGAAAGCCCGGAGCUCAACUCCGGAACUGCCAUUGAAACUGUUUAGCUUGAGGAUGAGAGAGGUGAGUGGAAUUCCCAGUGUAGAGGUGAAAUUCGUAGAUAUUGGGAAGAACACCGGUGGCGAAGGCGGCUCACUGGCUCAUUACUGACGCUCAGGCGCGAUAGCGUGGGGAUCAAACAGG
Molecule: ribosomal RNA, 254 nt
Filed under: uncultured bacterium
Lineage: Bacteria
Description: partial 16S ribosomal RNA
Rfam family: Bacterial small subunit ribosomal RNA
Source: RNAcentral